ACUUUUAAAAUGUAGAUGAUGCUUGUUUUAGAUAAUCCUUCACUCCUUGCUUUUUUGAGCUUCAAAUACAAGCUACCCCUUCUUUUCAAAACCCUAAUUCCUCUUUCUCUUCCAAUCUCAUUUCUCAAGAUCGGCUUCGCUGCUUCCUCAGGAAUUAUGUCUUUUGUGCGGAAUUAUCAAGCAGAAGAUUGUAGUUUACAUAGUGGUUACUGGUCCACCUUUGAUGGAAACAACUUUGGCAACAGCAAUAGGAAAAGAAGCAGGAACAAUUAUUAUAACAGGAACUGUAACAUUUACAAUGACAACCGGACAAAAUUUGGGGACCAUGGUUGCAACUUUAAUUUUUACACAGCUGAUCAUGCUAAUUAUGUUAGAUAUGAUGCUGUUCCAUCAUCUUUGAAAAGGAGAAAAUAUUCAGUGCCUGCUUGGCAAGAAAGCCAGCAAUACUAUGUUCCACCCAUGGUCCAUGACAAUAUCCCUUCAUCCUAUAAUUUCCAAGGUCCUCCUACAAGAUCUGAUGGUGAUGCCUCUACAUCAGCUAGCUGCAAGCGUGAUUGCUCUAUUUUUGAAGAUGAUAAGCCUGUCUUCAUGUCUAGGGACGAAAUUGAUAGACACUCUCCAUCAAGAAAAGAUGGUAUUGAUGUACAUCAUGAGACACACUUGCGGUACUCCUAUUGUGCCUUCCUUCAGAAUCUUGGAAUGCGUCUUGAGCUGCCUCAAAACAUCAUUGGGACAGCUAUGGUUCUGUGCCACCGUUUCUUUGUUCGACAAUCACAUGCUUGCCAUGAUAGAUUUUUGAUUGCUACUGCUGCUCUUUUUCUUACUGCAAAGUCAGAGGAAGCUCCACGUCCUUUGAAUAACAUAUUGAGAACAUCCAGUGAAAUUUUACAUAAACAAGAUUUUGCUUUGUUGUCCUACCGGUUUCCUGUUGAUUGGUUUGAACAGUAUCGGGAGCGGGUGCUUGAGGCUGAACAACUGAUACUUACUACUCUAAAUUUUGAACUCAAUGUGCAACAUCCAUAUGUACCUCUUACAUCUGUUCUUAACAAAUUAGGUCUAUCAAAGACUGUUUUGGUGAAUCUGGCAUUAAACUUGGUCAGUGAAGGGAUCUUCACAAGAUUAGCGUGCUGGCCUGUAUGAUAUUCUUAGCUGGCGGAUUGAUAUGCUGUUCAUCAAAAGUUUUGUUUUACAUCUGAAGUUGAACUGCUGAUGUCUAAUGGAUUGCUUUAUCUUGAAAUAUGUCCCAUCAACUUUUAUUUCGGCUAGCCAAGCUAGCCACAAGAGCCCUAACCUGCCAACCCAGAUUUUGUCUCUAACCCUCAACACCUUCUAGUUUAUGCUGAUUUUCAUUAGCCAAAUGGGCUCUAUAUAAUUUUAGUAACUUGGGUUGAAAGAAGAUCAUAAAGUGAUUUGACAAUCAGUAACCAAAAAAAUGAAAGAGAGAAGCAAACAGCCUGAAAUUCAAACAUGGAAUGAAUCUUUUAUUGUUCUGAACAAGUUUUGGUCAAUAAUUACCCAUUGGUCAAAAUGAGGCUUUUGAACUAGAUUGAACUUAUUAUGUGGAGGAAAAUAGAGGUCUUCUCUACUGCUGGUUUAUUUUUUACUAAAGAGUCAGAGUAUCUCUGGUACUGUGUUUUUGUUUAUUCUCUUUAGUACCAUAUGUUAUCAAUGGCGAAUGGAAGAAUUAGGCGGAAGGCCUAAAUUCUGUCAUAUAAACACGGCAUGGCAGCCUAUGGUGCCACCAUAGUUGGCCUCCCUUUACAAAUUGCCUAUGGCUAAAAAUCCACCCUGCCAAUUCUGCCAUGGCUCCGACAUUUAACAAUGGAUUUGGGAGAAAACUGUUUCUAGGACAAAUCUGCUGAUAAAAUUCUCUUUUGAAGUGUUUCCGUUGUGGUCAGUUUAAUUGCCAACUUUUGGCUUUGUGAAACAUUUCUUUUCUUAAUUUCCCCCUCAUUUCCAACCUCAAUGAAUAUUUUGCUAACUCAAAUGGAUUAGUUAAAUCAUAUUUGUUUUUCCCCCCAGGUUUUUUAAAUUUGAAUUUAAUUUUGUUCCCUUUUCAAUCUAUAAGAUGCUUUCACUUUAUCCAAUAAUUUAUUGAUGCAUCUAAAAAAGAGUUUGACGUGACAACCAUGGCACAAACAAAGGCUUUGUUGUUGUUUGUUUGUUAACUGAAAAUUGUGAGAAUUACUUCCUUGUAGUGUUGAUUUGUUUAGUUUUAACAUUAGGCAUUGUUCAUGAUUUUGAUAGGUUCUUCUUGUGUGUUAAAACAUAGAUUGCGGAAGUUAUUGAAAAUCUGAAACGAGAAGCCAUUUAGUGUUCAACUUUUGAAGUAGAUGUCCUAAAGCUUAAAUAUUUGACACUAUCAUUCUAUGAUUUUGCCCCUCUUACUCAUAUUUACUGAAUAUAAUUAUGGUUAUGUCACCCCCCCCCAAAAAAAAAUCAUGCUGAAGUUGGCUCACACUUUACUUUCCUUCAUGUCAUUUGGCAUCUGGUGGUCCUUUCUUUAGAUGUCUGCCUUAGUUCUUUGAAAAUGUUAUUGGUUGGAGAGGUUGAUCUUUAUUAUGAUUUAAAUGCCUCAGCAUCUUCAUGAAAUAUCAAUACUAAUGGUACCAGUGUUAUUUGUUGGUAUGGCUGGCCUGCUAAAUUUCAAUGGAUUAUGCAUAGAAGAGAUUUUGCUUCUGUCUUUAGUUAAAUUGCUCAAAUGUUUUGAUGACUCCAAAACCUUCUUUGUUGGAUGGGUUGUUGUGGACAGUGGCUCUGUCUUUAUGCUUUUAAUUCUUAAGGAAAUUUUGUACUAUUGUAUGGUGUUGGUCCUAGCAGCCUUUCUUUUUAUCCUUCUUCUCCAAUAUGAUUUACAGUUAAUACCUUCAUUGCUUCUGAAAGUUCUGCACAACUAGUUUGAAAGUUAUAAUGUACUGGAUUUCCUGUGCUCAACCUCGAAAGACAAGGAGGAUUAAAAAAGUGGAACUUUUCUUUUUCCUGUUCUGUUUUUAUCCCUGUUCCUCUUAAAAAGGGUCAGUGGGUAUUUCAGGUGGCUGUGAUGUAGUGGUUCUAUGCAGCCUACAUACCUUGUCAUAAGUCGAAAAUAUUCCAUUUAAAGGGUAAUCAUGUGCAAAUUUGGGCUUUUGAAAAAUAGUGCUAGACUGGUUAGGGUUUGCUUGUAGAAGUUUCUUUUUCUUUUUUGGGAAGGGGGUUGCCCCGAAGCCGUUUAUCGUUACACCCUAAGGUCACAAUAAGGAUCUCCCAAUUGUUGAAACAGUUAGAGAUGUGCUUGAACAGUGAGACAUAUUUGUCAAUACUAAUCAAUCUUUAUAAAUUUGUCCUUGUGCCUUCCACGUAUGCCAAAGUUUGUACUAAACUCAUCAACUAGCUUUCUGCUUCAAAUUGUUAUAUUUGGGCAAGGGUAAUCGAUAAUUUCUCUUCUUUUCUUUUUGCUUUCUUUUUUUGAUGUUAUUGUCUAGUGAGUUUUGAACUUCUAAUUUACACUUGCAACAUGAACAUUCAUUGGAUUUGUUCUAUAGUGUGUUGAAUAAGUUGCAUUCAUAGUCAACAUUCCUAUAUGCAUGGUAGCUAGGCUCUCCAGGUCAAAAUAUUGAGAAGAUAUGGCAUUGGCAUUAGCUUUGAAAGAUUCAAUUGUUAGCAAUAUGCAGCACAGCACUCCAUGCAUGCUUUCUCUUUUUAGUUGCAUAAAUUUCUGGAGUUUAGAGCCCCCACAGCACAGUUGGGUCUGGAAGUCUGAUAAAUUCUCUAGAUGAGUAUAAAAUAUUGCUAUAGUUUGGUACUCUUAUCAGCAAUCCUGCACAGAUUCUUGGAAUUGUAUUCUUCCUGAGUUGCUGCUUUUCUAGUUGAUGACAUGAUCUGUCAUGGUGGGAACAUAUGCUAAGUUGGUGCCUCGGAUGGUUAGUUUGACUAUUUAUGAACCUCUAUUGUAUUAAGCAAUGCUGGUUGUAGUGGUGUCUGUCUUGUAUGGUCUACUGAUGCAGAAAAUUGUUUUGCAGGCUUCGGAGUUCUCUGUGGCUUCAAUUUAAACCCCAUCAUAUUGCUGCUGGAGCUGCAUAUCUUGCUGCCAAGUUUCUGAACAUGGAUCUCGCAGCUUAUCAGAACAUCUGGCAAGAGUUCCAGACAACACCAUCCAUACUUCAAGCUGUCUCGCAGCAAUUAAUGGAGCUCUUUUAAAAGUAUGGAAGAACUGGAUUACAGCAUCCUUCUUAGUGGAGUAGAUUUUGAGUAUAUAUAAUUCAAAAUGUCACAUACUUUGGAGGGAGAGAUUAGGAACUACGACAUAGGAUUUUAGUGGGUGUGACCUACGGAUUUUUAUGUUUUACCAACUUCUCUGAAUUCUCUGCUAAAAUGUCGAGCAUGCUUUGCGUUCAUUUUUGUUGAUGCUUUGUGAUCUACUGUCAGUGUCAUAAUAUCAAUCAUGGUCGUGUUUAGUGAAUGAAGAGCCUAUCCUUGAAAGCACACAGAUUUGUAACACGUGUUCGCAACAGUUAUUGGGUUCGGAGGUUAAAAUUUA
Glycine soja is the source of this 4516-nucleotide RNA transcript. It is a transcript of the gene named cyclin-T1-3-like, with no coding region annotated. NCBI's taxonomy places the organism in Eukaryota, Viridiplantae, Streptophyta, Magnoliopsida, Fabales, Fabaceae. The transcript has 8 exons. The record is from RefSeq and is a predicted model, not a curated record.